This 476-nucleotide ribosomal RNA is filed under the name uncultured bacterium. Its description in RNAcentral is "partial 16S ribosomal RNA". It matches the Rfam family "Bacterial small subunit ribosomal RNA", at positions 28 to 523 of the family's 1533-position model. The record is from RNAcentral.
GAUGAACGCUGGCGGCGUGCUUAACACACGCAAGUCGAGCGAGUGAGUUCUUCGGAACGAUCUAGCGGCGGACGGGUGAGUAACACGUGGGCAACCUGCCUCAUAGAGGGGAAUAGCCUCCCGAAAGGGAGAUUAAUACCGCAUAAAAUUAUCGAGUGGCAUCACAUGAUAAUCAAAGGAGUAAUCCGCUAUGAGAUGGGCCCGCGGCGCAUUAGCUAGUUGGUGAGGUUACGGCUCACCAAGGCGACGAUGCGUAACCGACCUGAGAGGGUGAUCGGCCACAUUGGGACUGAGACACGGCCCAGACUCCUACGGGAGGCAGCAGUGGGGAAUAUUGCACAAUGGGGGAAACCCUGAUGCAGCAACGCCGCGUGAGUGAUGAAGGUCUUCGGAUUGUAAAGCUCUGUCUUUGGGGACGAUAAUGACGGUACCCAAGGAGGAAGCCACGGCUAACUACGUGCCAGCCGCCGCAGUAA